This is a long non-coding RNA of Ictidomys tridecemlineatus (thirteen-lined ground squirrel), 2160 nucleotides long. Lineage: Eukaryota; Metazoa; Chordata; Mammalia; Rodentia; Sciuridae. The record is from Ensembl.
CCGGGCCAGAGCCGCCGGGCCUCCACACUAACCGAAGGUGCGGACCGGGCCCGCCAACGUGGCCCGGCAGGUUCCCCCGCAGACCUGGGGCAGGCCCGGCAGCCGCGAGCUCUGUGCGCGGGCGAGAUGUGCGGCCCUUGAGUGGGCUGAAUGGAGGACAGCUCGGGCCGGGGCCCCAGGCCAAUCAGGAGCGCCUCUCCAGAUACAAAGCAUCCCAAUCAGGCGGCGGCGCCCCGUUCCCACAUUCUUUGCCGUCACAAAUUGUCACCAUGGGGACCAUCACAAAAAAGACAGCUCCCAAAUGCAAUCAUUUCCCGGUCAAUUUCUACCCUCGGCCCUGCUCGGCGGCCUCCACGCCCCUCCUCCCCUUGACCUCGGUUCCCUGGUUUCUCGAGGGGGCUGUGUGUGUGCGAGUGUGUGUGCGUGUGUGUGAAUGUCCAGGGCCCAGAGGGGCCGGCCGGUGGAGACGGGCUUGCAAACCUCCCCCAAAGACUGCAGCUGCUAUGCUCCAGUGCAGACAGACAAUCGGACAGGUUGGUGAUGCACCCGGAGACAAGCUUCAAACCUCCGAUGCUGGGCCCAAGUUGGUCAACUCUGUCCCCUCGGCCUUCUUGGAGGCCCUGUGCAAACAUCCUCUCCUCCAGGAAGCCUCUCCACCAACUCCUGGCAUUACUAAUGACCCCCUCUCCCGUGCCUAGAGACAAAGAUGAGGUCCAACCUCCUUAGCCACAGACAGAAGGCCCUUAGUUAUCUGGCGCCCCUGGAAGGCAUUAAUCCUGUGAACCGGAAACACCUUUCCAUCCAGCCAGGUGAGCCCCAGGAGAGCAGGGAGCUGGGCCGCCGAGUCUCUGGUGUCUUCAGUCUCACCACAGAGCAAGCCUCUGGGAGAUGCUCCAGGUUGCUGCGGUUGUACUUGGUGGUGAAUCCGCCACAUCCCUUCAGUUGGCUGGACGCCUGGGGGCGGCAGGCCCCUUCCCCUCCCCGCCCAGCGGUGGCUGCUGUGCUCUCACUUCCAGCUCUGAGCUCCUCUGACACCUGAUGGUAGGAGGCAGAAUCUGCUUGAUCCCAAUACAGGACGUGUCCUAAGUCACGUGCUCGUCCCAGGGGCCACCCUCACUCCCCUGAACAGAGAGGGAAACACAGGUGCCCUCCGGCCAGGAAACACACCCACAUCCCACCGUCAGCUGCUGCAGGUGAGGUCCGUGCUCUGGGGACCAUGGUGAGAUGCUCUGUGACGGCUGUCAGUCCCCAGCCUGACCCUCCCAGGGCCUUUGCCAGCCCUGCCCUCCCCCGGAGAGCGUGGCCCGACCAGCCAGGCUGCACGGGGCCCGCCAGCGCUCCGUGGCUGGACGCAGACAUCACAGGAUGGUUUAUGUAACCCCUUAUAUAACGGCAGCUUCCAUCAAAGCUGCCCGCGGCUGGUGUCACUUGUAAUCAGAGUGGACGCUGGGAUGAGAGCAACCAGCUGAAGUGCCUCUGCCCAGGCAGCCACACCUCCCAGCAGGGUUGUGCCUGCAGAGCCACUGGAGAUGACACAGCCUGGCCAGUCCCCGCAACUGUCUGAGUGUUCGUGUGCCCUGCCGGAAGUGAUUUUGGCCACACUGUUCUCAGCUGACUUCGAGCUGGCUUUGGAGUAAGAUCAUUCACCUCUGCCCCUGCCUGGCUGUGUGAUCUUGGGCCCAGUCACUCACCUUCUCUGGGCCUCAGUUCCUGCUAGAAGACAUCAUUGAUUCUCAGCCUCCAAGUUGCAAGAUUUAUGUGGGGCUAGUGUGUCAUAAGUCAGUGUAACACAUAAAAGUCUCAGAAUUGGCAAAUGAUUUCUCCUGAUAGAAACCGGGGUGGCAGAGUCACUCUCCUAACAUCAGGUAACCUUACUGUAUCUGAUGAGGAGUUCAAGGACCAAAGCCCCCAGGAAGACAGGCGGCUCCGUGGGUUUGCUCAUCCCCCAGGGCCUUAGGGGGCUUCCAGGACAGGCUUCCAGGACAGGCUUCCGUGUGGCAGACGUGGCUGGGGGCUGUCCUCCCCGGCUACUCCUGAGCUCAGAGGAAGCACCCAUUUUUCAUAAGUAAGAUGGUGGCUGUGGGGCUUUUGGGGUGCCUUUAAUUAGGUCUUUACCAUGCACGGGGGUGAAUUUCGUCAGAUGAUUUUUCUGCCUCCACU